GACGAACGCUGGCGGCGUGCUUAACACAUGCAAGUCGAACGGAAAGGCCCUGCUUUUGUGGGGUGCUCGAGUGGCGAACUGGUGAGUAACACGUGAGUAACCUGCCCUGGACUUUGGGAUAACUUCAGGAAACUGGGGCUAAUACCGGAUAGGAGCUCCUGCUGCAUGGUGGGGGUUGGAAAUUUUCGGCGGUUGGGGAUGGACUCGCGGCUUAUCCGCUUGUUGGUGGGGUAGUGGCUUACCAAGGCUUUGACGGGUAGCCGGCCUGAGAGGGUGACCGGCCACAUUGGGACUGGGGUACGGCCCAGACUCCUACGGGAGGCAGCAGGGGGGAAUAUUGCACAAUGGGCGGAAGCCUGAUGCAGGAACGCCGCGGGGGGGAUAACGGCCUUCGGGUUGUAAACCGCUUUCGCCUGUGACGAAGCGUGAGUGACGGUAAUGGGUAAAGAAGCACCGGCUAACUACGUG
RNAcentral lists this ribosomal RNA (468 nucleotides) under uncultured bacterium. Its description in RNAcentral is "partial 16S ribosomal RNA". It matches the Rfam family "Bacterial small subunit ribosomal RNA", at positions 28 to 507 of the family's 1533-position model. The record is from RNAcentral.